Styela clava is the source of this 2215-nucleotide non-coding RNA. NCBI's taxonomy places the organism in Eukaryota, Metazoa, Chordata, Ascidiacea, Stolidobranchia, Styelidae. The record is from RefSeq and is a predicted model, not a curated record.
UCUAAACUGGGAGAUGCAAUGAUUAUUAUUAGAGAUUAUUUUUCCUUCAGAUAGGCCUUGGCAUAGUACUAGACGAUUCUUGGUGUGUAAUUGCUGAAUCGAAGACGACGUCGUAAACGAAUGGAGGCGAUCGAGAAUAGUGCAUCUUAGCCAUCUUACAUAUUUCAGAUCGUGUUGAUGCAAACUGACUGAACGUAAACAAGCUGCGAAUGUUGACAUCGGAAACUGCUUGAGCGGAACAGAAACUACGGUUAAACAAAUAUUCAUUAAUUAGAAAUUACAGGCCAUAAUAUAGCACUAGAUUGAACUGAGUGUGUAUUUGCGUUGAAUCAGAGACCCAUGGGAAGAUAUGCCUGUGCAAAGAUGUUUGGACCAUUUCAUAAAUAAGAUCUACAUAAUUGAUGAAUUAAAAACUCAACAGAGAUGGUUGUGUUGGGAUGUUCCGGAUAUAGUACAGGUGAUUAUAAUUGCUUACUUUUUUUUAAAUUAUUUCAACGGUCACUUCUGUUGUUAAUGUCCAAACCUGUUUUUUUUGUCAUGUCAAGAAUUUACGUGGGCCCAAGUAGCGUUCUCUUUUUCCAUAUCUUUCAGUUAUUUCAGAUAUUCAGAUACAUGACUAAUAGCUGAAAAUAAACUAAAUAAUAAUACAGUUAGGCCAUAACAUAGUAUUAAAGCGAGGGUUGUCGCCAAAUUCCUGAAUCGAAGACUCACGUAAGUUUAGUUGAAGAGAGGCGAUCAAGGAUUAAUAAGGUAACUGUUAAUUUAUUUACACUUAUAAGUGCAUAACCGCAUGGCAAUAUAGUAUACAAUGUAGGAUUCCGUCAGAGUCAUUGUAUUGUCUUCUUAUAUUACCCUUAACAUGAAUCUGAUUACAUAUAAAGGUUUUAUACUACUGGGCUCUUGCGCUGAGAAAUGUACGUUCGUUGUAAGUGUAUUCAGAUUUACACUUUGAAUAGUCUUCCAAUGAAUCCUUCGUUUCAGCUGUUUCACAAAUAAUAUUUAUUCUAAAGGCAAUUAAUAAAUGAUCUUGUUUCAUUCGCAGUCUUCUCGUUAUCUUGCAUGAAAUUUUUUUUUUUUUUUUACAUUUAUGUUUACUUAUGCAGUUAGACAGACUAAUAUUAGGCCUAAAAUCGUUAUUUCGAGGUGGAAUUGGACCACACGUUUUGGAAAUGUUGGCAUCGGGAUCAGCUAGAGGAAAUGCGAAAUUGUCGGAAUGUGAAAUUAGUCUUUAAAUGUAUUCAUUGGGAGCUGACAGCUGUUUAUCAAAUCAGCGUAGGACUUCCGCUACGUCUGGGACUAAAACAAAAAUUGUCAAUCGGUGCUUGAAAGUAUCCAAUGCAAGCGAAAAACAUCAAGCAAAAUACGACUUUUCUGUGCGUCUUGAACAUAAACAAGGUUCUGUCCGGAUUACGGAACAAGCUGAUUGCAGCGACAACGGAUCUCACAAAUCAUUUGUUCGUAGAAGGCAGUGGAAUCCGCUAUGAUAUUGAAAUGGUCUUCUACCGAUGUGAUCGUUUCUUUUGAUCAGCUCUUGUGUACCUGCAGGUUGCGUUCUGGAUUGAAAGGUCAAAGAAGAGAUUGACAACACGGCGACAGAAAUAAAUGGCUUGAUAGUUCUUCAGAAUUAUAUAAAUCGAAUAUUUUUAUUUUUCCUUAACCACUCUUUUACCUUGGUUUGUCGGAUAUCAAAGCCUACCCCAUAUCUACGUGAAAGUUUAAAAUGCGCCCCCUUGAUUUUACUGAAUUCUUUAACGACUGUUUGUUGCUUUGGGAUAAUUUGUGUUAUCAAAAUGAGGUUUCACCCAUUGUGCGCUCUUAUCCAAAUGGCGGCCAUGGCUGGGUGCGGGGGCAGUGGCCCUCAUGCCUAAAUAUGCCACGGAGCCAAGGUAUCACCCAAAAAUUCACAAUUCUUCAUUUCAUGUCUGAUCUAGUCGGAAAAGCUUAAUAUCUCAAUGUUGCUCGCUUUUAAACAAUCUGCCCCUGCAUUCUCACUAAUAUCUCAAAACCUAAUCCAUCUCUCGUAUAUUUUUUCUGAGCGCUAGCUAAUGUUUUGGGUGAGUUCCCCAGAUUACAUUUUUUUAGCCCUUCAUUUCAGAGAUUUCGCACCCAAGAAUUGGCUUGAUCGGAAAGCUAGCAAACGUUCAAAGUAAGCCAAGGCUCUUACAAUAUGUUUUCGUGUAUUUAUUCCUUUUUGUGAAGAAUAAUAAAAUUAUUA